AACGCACGAGACCUGCGGACCUGCGGAAGGAUCAUUACAAGUGACCCCGGUCUAACCACCGGGAUGUUCAUAACCCUUUGUUGUCCGACUCUGUUGCCUCCGGGGCGACCCUGCCUUCGGGCGGGGGCUCCGGGUGGACACUUCAAACUCUUGCGUAACUUUGCAGUCUGAGUAAAUUUAAUUAAUAAAUUAAAACUUUCAGCAAUGGAUCUCU
This 214-nucleotide unclassified non-coding RNA is filed under the name soil metagenome. Its description in RNAcentral is "partial contains 5.8S ribosomal RNA, internal transcribed spacer 2, and large subunit ribosomal RNA". The record is from RNAcentral.